AGAGUUUGAUCAUGGCUCAGGAUGAACGCUGGCGGCGUGCCUAAGACAUGCAAGUCGAGUGGGUUUAGACCCACGGCGAACGGGUGAGUAAUACCUAGGAACGUAUCUUGAGUCGAGCAUAUCCCACCGAAAGGUGGAGCAAUUCUCGAUGUGGCCGCAAGGCUAAAGUCGCAAGACGCUCAAGAAGCGGCCUGGACACCAUCAGCUAGUUGGUAGGGUAAUGGCCUACCAAGGCUUUGACGGUUAGGGGCCCCGAGAGGGGAGACCCCCACACUGGAACUGCGACACGGUCCAGACUCCUACGGGAGGCAGCAGUUUGGAAUUUUGGACAAUGGGCGAAAGCCUGAUCCAGCGACGCCGCGUGGACGAUGAAGGCCUUCGGGUUGUAAAGUCCUUUUAGCAGGGAAGAAUUUUUGACGGUACCUGCAGAAUAAGAGGUUGCUAACUCUGUGCCAGCAGCAGCGGUAAUACAGAGACCUCAAGCGUUAUCCGGAAUCAUUGGGCGUAAAGCGUACCGAUCGGUGGUUUUACAAGUCAGAGGUGAAAUUCCAAGGCUCAACCUUGGGACUGUCCUUUGAAACUGUAAAACUAGAGGGGCAAAGAGGAAGCUAGAACUAACGGUGUAGGGGUAAUAUCCGUUGAUAUCGUUAGGAAUACCAAUAGCGAAGGCGGCUUCUGGGUGCCACCUGACACUGCUAGGACGAAAGCGUGGGGAGCAAAAAGGAUUAGAUACCCUAGUAGUCC
RNAcentral lists this ribosomal RNA (744 nucleotides) under uncultured bacterium. RNAcentral's name for it is "bacterial SSU rRNA". It matches the Rfam family "Bacterial small subunit ribosomal RNA", at positions 8 to 796 of the family's 1533-position model. The record is from RNAcentral.